CCUACGGGAGGCAGCAGUGGGGAAUUUUGGACAAUGGGGGCAACCCUGAUCCAGCCAUUCCGCGUGAGUGAAGAAGGCCUUCGGGUUGUAAAGCUCUUUCGCAAGGGAAGAAAACUUAUGAUCGAAUAAAUCAUGAGGUUGACGGUACCUUGAUAAGAAGCACCGGCUAACUACGUGCCAGCAGCCGCGGUAAUACGUAGGGUGCGAGCGUUAAUCGGAAUUACUGGGCGUAAAGCGUGCGCAGGCGGUUUUGUAAGUCGGAUGUGAAAUCCCCGGGCUCAACCUGGGAACUGCGUUCGAAACUGCAAGGCUAGAGUGUGUCAGAGGGGGGUAGAAUUCCACGUGUAGCAGUGAAAUGCGUAGAGAUGUGGAGGAAUACCAAUGGCGAAGGCAGCCCCCUGGGAUAACACUGACGCUCAUGCACGAAAGCGUGGGGAGCAAACAGGAUUAGAUACCCUGGUAGUCCACGCCCUAAACGAUGUCAACUAGUUGUUGGUAGAGUAAAAUCUAUGAGUAACGUAGCUAACGCGUGAAGUUGACCGCCUGGGGAGUACGGUCGCAAGNUUAAAACUUAAAGGAAUUGACGGNNGAGAGNGCGAGACGACGACGAGGGAGAGG
RNAcentral lists this ribosomal RNA (618 nucleotides) under uncultured bacterium. RNAcentral's name for it is "bacterial SSU rRNA". It matches the Rfam family "Bacterial small subunit ribosomal RNA", at positions 338 to 947 of the family's 1533-position model. The record is from RNAcentral.